ACAUUGUGUCUAUUGUAUCCCUUGGCUGGUGUAUUUGUACAUCUCUCGGGACGUGAAAUUGACAGUGAAAAGUAUGGCAGAUGAGCAAGAAAUCAUGUGCAAAUUGGAAAGCAUUAAAGAGAUCAGAUAUAAGGUCUCACUAUGUUGCCCAUGCUGGUUUCAAACUCCUGGGCUCAAGUGAUCCUCCUGCCUCUGUCUUCCAAAUUGCUGAGAUUACUGGCAUGAGCCAUUGCACCUGGCCUUCUUUUUUGAGAUGGCCUCAGGUUGGCUCUGCCUGGAGAGGGGGAAGCUUGUAAAGAUGGCUUAGAAAAAAAGUCCUGGCUCCAUUUCUAUUUUCUCCCUUCUUUUGCUGGCCUGUUUCCUGCUUUUUGCAAAUUGCAGGAACAAGACCCUGCAGAUGGAGAAGAUCAAGGCUCGUUUGAAGGCUGAGUUUGAGGCACUUGAGUCAGAGGAAAGGCACCUGAAGGAAUACAAGCAGGAGAUGGACCUUCUGCUACAGGAGAAGAUGGCCCAUGUGGAGGAACUCCGACUGAUCCACGCUGACAUCAAUGUGAUGGAAAACACUAUCAAACAAUCUGAGAAUGACCUAAACAAGCUGCUAGAGUCUACAAGGAGGCUGCAUGAUGAGUAUAAGCCACUGAAAGAACAUGUGGAUGCCCUGCGCAUGACUCUGGGCCUGCAGAGGCUCCCUGACUUGUGUGAAGAAGAGGAGAAGCUUUCCUUGGAUUACUUUGAGAAGCAGAAAGCAGAAUGGCAGACAGAACCUCAGGAGCCCCCCAUCCCUGAGUCCCUGGCCGCUGCAGCCGCUGCCGCCCAACAGCUCCAAGUGGCUAGGAAGCAGGAUACUCGGCAGACGGCCACCUUCAGGCAGCAGCCCCCACCUAUGAAGGCCUGCUUGUCAUGUCACCAGCAAAUUCACCGGAAUGCACCUAUAUGCCCUCUUUGCAAGGCCAAGAGUCGGUCCCGGAACCCCAAAAAGCCGAAACGGAAGCAGGAUGAAUAAAGAAAGGGAGAGCACAUGAAGCUUUGCUAAUUAUAACCCCUCACCUUGACCAGAGUCAUUGAUGUCCUGAUGUGAAACAACCCUUGCCCAACCCCACGAAGUCUCCUAUUUAAUGUGAUGGAAGCACAACCCCUCUCUCACUUUGCUCCUAUUUCUUUCUGCUCUUGGGAUUUCUGGUUUAGGAAGAGAUGUGGUUCAGGUGCUAAACAGUGUGUCUGAUGAUCCCUUCUCUCCCACUCACAUUUCAACCCCUGCCCUUGUUUGGAGCUAAGGGAAGGGCAAAAGGCUCAGAUAUGAUUCUCUAUCUCUUGUGCCUGAGGCCUGGAGCCUAAGGAGCUGUAGGGUCUGAGGGGCAGGGGAGGCCCAUAUCUUGUUUCAGGUAAAGGACCCAGUAUUUCCCCUCCUUGUACUUUUGCCUUAGGUUCUCAAGGGACAAUAGUCUUCAUGUUGGAUUCUCCAACAGGCUGGGUGCAUGUAUCCCCCUACUCCUACCCUCAUCUCAUCCUUAAGGCCCAGAGGUAGCUUGGACAAGCCCUCCUUUUCAUAAUCAUUUGGGAGGCAUGGCUGUAAUUCUUUAGCUUUCUCCACUUCUGUCUCCCACAUAUACUAAAAUUCUUAGGUACUAGGCUGUGUGUCUUGGGAUCUUAAGAUCAAUGAACCUUUCCCCAAUAUCUAGUCUUUGCAAAUUCUAGUAGAAGAUUUCCACAGUGAAAUCAGUGAGCCAGACCAACUCUACAUCUCCUGCCUAACCUACUGCCUAAGUCAUUAGGGCUGAGGGCUCGGCUGUAGGGGCUUCCUUAGGCUGAGAGUGCCCCCAGGCUGACAUCUGUGUUGGCUUUUGUUCAGAACCAUUACUCUGGCACAUGCUCAAUGGUAUAUUGCAGGGAGGAGAGGAGUAGAUUUAGAUUUGAGUAAAUGCCAAUCACUUUACACAUGAAGGUGGGUGGGACUUUCCUUCCAUUCAUCCCUUGCUCUCUUGGAUCUGAACUCUUCUGGAGCCUCAGCUCAGGAUAGCUGCUGGCCACUCCUGUCCUGUGGAUUGUGCAGGUGGCCUUUCCUCCCAAAAGAAAAGGCAUCAGGCUCCCCAAGCCCCACAGCUCUCCUUUCCACCAAAGCCAGGUUUCCUGGUAAGGUCACUCGAAGAUAAGGGAUGGGGAUGGGGGCUGACUGACAAAAAAUUUUAGCCCCAGGUCUCAGUACCUGGCUGGGGAGGGGGAUAUUUUUCCUUCCUUAAGUAGUUUUACAUUGCCACAGUGUGUAUGUGUUCACUAUAUAAAAUGUUCCUCUGCUCUUUGAAAGUAAGAGUGUUGUGUCUGUACAAAUCCUUUUAACAUGCAUUCAUUGGAGUAAAUUCUGAGUAUCUACUGUGUAUUGGAUAAUACAAAAGAUGUAAUGUCAUUUACCUUUCUGGGUAGCUCUUGUUUGCUCUUAUUCAUUCCACCUUACAAAUGAGAAAGCCAGGCACCAAGGACAAUAAUUUACCUAAUUAUCACAAUAAUUUCCAUUUAUUUAGCACCUACUCUGUGCCAGGUACCUAUGCAAGUUGCUUAAUAUAAAUGAUUGUAUUUGACUUCCAAAAUACCUUACAAGCUAAGUAUUCUUAUCACCAUUUUAAAAAAAAAGGGAUACUGAACCUCCAAAAACUUAAAAGCUUUUUCAGAGUUAAACAGCUAGUAAGAGGAAAUUGCAGGAUUUGGAGCCAGCUUUGUCCAACUCCAGAGCUCAUUUUUUUCUACUUCUUCUCCAUGAUCAUUUUUAAGAAAACCUUUCUCCCUUUCAGAAUGGCUUGAUGAUGAGAGUGGUUGAAAUAACUUUGGAACUGAAAUCAAGAACUGGGUGUCAAAUGACUGAUUCAGGGAUAUAAAGGCCAAGGGCUCUCUAAAUAAUAUCCUGUACACUAAUCUGUCUCUGUGCUUGUCAGGGAAUUCAACAGCUAAAUAAAACCUCUCUGUGCCUCAGUGUCCUCAUCUGGAAAA
RNA transcript from Homo sapiens (human), 2979 nucleotides. It is a transcript of the gene named zinc finger C4H2-type containing, with no coding region annotated. NCBI's taxonomy places the organism in Eukaryota, Metazoa, Chordata, Mammalia, Primates, Hominidae. The transcript is spliced from 5 exons. The record is from RefSeq and is marked reviewed.